Molecule: ribosomal RNA, 465 nt
Filed under: uncultured bacterium
Lineage: Bacteria
Description: partial 16S ribosomal RNA
Rfam family: Bacterial small subunit ribosomal RNA
Source: RNAcentral
GACGAACGCUGGCGGCGUGCUUAACACAUGCAAGUCGAACGGAAAGGCCCCUUUGGGGGUACUCGAGUGGCGAACGGGUGAGUAACACGUGAGUAACCUGCCCUUGACUUCGGGAUAACUUCAGGAAACUGGGGCUAAUACCGGAUAGGAAUCCUUGCUGCAUGGUGGGGGUUGGAAAGCUUCGGCGGUUUUGGAUGGACUCGCGGCUUAUCAGCUUGUUGGUGGGGUAGUGGCUUACCAAGGCUUUGACGGGUAGCCGGCCUGAGAGGGCGACCGGCCACAUUGGGACUGAGAUACGGCCCAGACUCCUACGGGAGGCAGCAGGGGGGAAGAUUGCACAAGGGGCGGAAGCCUGAUGCAGCAACGCCGCGUGCGGGAUGACGGCCUUCGGGUUGUAAACCGCUUUCAGCAGGGGCGAAGCUUGUGGUGACGGUACCUGCAGAAGAAGCACCGGCUAACUACGUG